UGGGGAAUAUUGGACAAUGGGCGGAAGCCUGAUCCAGCAACGCCGCGUGAGGGAUGACGGCCUUCGGGUUGUAAACCUCUUUCACCAUUGACGAAGCUGCAUCUUUUUGGGUGUGGUGACGGUAGGUGGGGAAGAAGCACCGGCCAACUACGUGCCAGCAGCCGCGGUAAUACGUAGGGUGCGAGCGUUGUCCGGAAUUAUUGGGCGUAAAGGGCUCGUAGGCGGUUUGUCGCGUCGGGAGUGAAAACCUUGGGCUUAACCCAGGGCUUGCUUUCGAUACGGGCAGACUAGAGGUAUGCAGGGGAGAACGGAAUUCCUGGUGUAGCGGUGAAAUGCGCAGAUAUCAGGAGGAACACCGGUGGCGAAGGCGGUUCUCUGGGCAUGAUCUGACGCUGAGGAGCGAAAGUGUGGGGAGCGAACAG
Molecule: ribosomal RNA, 422 nt
Filed under: uncultured bacterium
Lineage: Bacteria
Description: bacterial SSU rRNA
Rfam family: Bacterial small subunit ribosomal RNA
Source: RNAcentral